Molecule: unclassified non-coding RNA, 220 nt
Filed under: plant metagenome
Description: partial contains small subunit ribosomal RNA, internal transcribed spacer 1, and 5.8S ribosomal RNA
Source: RNAcentral
UUUCCGUAGGUGAACCUGCGGAAGGAUCAUUACAGAGUUCAUGCCCUCACGGGUAGAUCUCCCACCCUUGAAUAUUUAUACCUUAGUUGCUUUGGCAGGCCGUGGAAACACCAUGGGCUCCGGCUUAUGCGUGCCUGCCAGAGGAAACAAACUCUGUUUUUAGUGAUGUCUGAGUACUACAUAAUAGUUAAAACUUUCAACAACGGAUCUCUUGGUUCUG